This 71-nucleotide transfer RNA is filed under the name Sinibotia superciliaris (golden Chinese loach). RNAcentral's name for it is "tRNA-Ser". It matches the Rfam family "tRNA". Rfam says of the family: Transfer RNA (tRNA) molecules are approximately 80 nucleotides in length. Their secondary structure includes four short double-helical elements and three loops (D, anti-codon, and T loops). The record is from RNAcentral. RNAcentral also lists the same sequence under 2 other names. Lineage: Eukaryota; Metazoa; Chordata; Actinopteri; Cypriniformes; Botiidae.
AAGGAAGUGGCAGAGUGGUUAUGCGACUGGCUUGAAACCAGUACAUGGGGGUUCAAUUCCUCCCUUCCUCG